AGAUCUACCCGGCUGAUCGUAAGACGACGCGCAGAGACUGCGCUCUCGGGCGUUUGCGAGUGCUGCAUGGUGUCGUCAGCUCGUGCCGUGAGGUGUUAGGUUAAGUCUGCAACGAGCGCAACCCUUACCUUCAGUUGCCAGCACGUCAUGGUGGGGACUCUGAAGGAACUGCCUACGCAAGUAGAGAGGAAGGUGGGGAUGACGUCAAAUCAGCACGGCCCUUAUGUCCGGGGCUACACACGUGCUACAAUGGCGCGCACAGAAGGCAGCGACCCUGCGAGGGGGAGCGAAUCCCGAAAGCGCGUCUCAGUUCGGAUCGGAGUCUGGAACCCGACUCCGUGAAGUUGGAUUCGCUAGUAAUCGCGCAUCAGCCAUGACGCGGUGAAUACGUUCCCGGGCCUUGUACACACCGCCCGUCAAGCCAUGGAAGAUGGUGGUACCUGAAGUCUGUACCCGCAAGGAGCGGCCUAGGGUAAAACUAUAACUGGGGCUAAGUCGAUAACAAGGUAACCUA
Molecule: ribosomal RNA, 514 nt
Filed under: uncultured bacterium
Lineage: Bacteria
Description: bacterial SSU rRNA
Rfam family: Bacterial small subunit ribosomal RNA
Source: RNAcentral